CUUUUUUCUCUUAACUCUACUCUCAUUCUCCAAAUACUCAGUGCUGAUUUAGGCAUCGGAGUGGUGGUCAACUAACCCACCGGGUGUUCCUUAGUGUUGUCUUGCAUAUUCAAGCACCGAGAUCCAUCAUUUCAUACCCACAGAAGAGGAGAACACGUUUUAAACAUUACAACUAAAGUCUAAAGAUGCCAUGGAGAUGUAAACUUUGGAGAGAUAUCCACCAAUCUAAUCAAGAUUAAGUAAGAUGAAACUUCAUAGGAAGACUUUGCUGUUGACAUAUUCUUAUGGUACAAUUGACAAGAACUACAAACACUCUGAUCUUGAUUUGUUAAUCUAUAAAUGGCCUUAGCUUUUUAGUUUCAUUGUGAUGCAAUCAAGUUUAAGCAAAUUUCUAUUGCAUUGCUCAAAGUUGUUUAAAAAAGUUUCCAUUUGCGGAUAUCAGUGACAAUAAACUUGACGAGAGCCUCUCCAUGUGGUUGCUUGCUUCGUGAGAGUUUAUAAGCUUUAAUAAAGUAUGAACGUCAAUAAAUAACUGCAGAAAACUAGAGAAAAUGUAAUUAUGCAACCACAUAUCAAAUUUGAUAGCACAUUUAACUUUAUGUUACUUUUUUCUUUUGCACAGUUGUGCACCCAAGUAAAGAAAAACAACCAAUUCUUAUCACUUCAUAAUACAAGCAUUGAUAACUUGACAGAAAAUAAAGAAUUGACCUUUCCGCUGCAGAGCAUACUUUGGCAGUUCCUUCACAGAGAGUUUCUGCUUUCAAGAAGGCAUUUCUACUGCAGAAUGCAUGCGGGCAAAGAAAUUUUCAUAGAUAAACUUUUUGGAGUGAACAUUUGCCACAAAACUGCGA
RNAcentral lists this unclassified non-coding RNA (851 nucleotides) under Hevea brasiliensis (rubber tree). Lineage: Eukaryota; Viridiplantae; Streptophyta; Magnoliopsida; Malpighiales; Euphorbiaceae. The record is from RNAcentral.